AGUGAACGCUGGCGGUAGGCCUAACACAUGCAAGUCGAACGGCAGCACAGUAAGAGCUUGCUCUUACGGGUGGCGAGUGGCGGACGGGUGAGGAAUACAUCGGAAUCUACUUUUUCGUGGGGGAUAACGUAGGGAAACUUACGCUAAUACCGCAUACGACCUACGGGUGAAAGCAGGGGAUCUUCGGGCCUUGCGCGAUUGAAUGAGCCGAUGUCGGAUUAGCUAGUUGGCGGGGUAAAGGCCCACCAAGGCGACGAUCCGUAGCUGGUCUGAGAGGAUGAUCAGCCACACUGGAACUGAGACACGGUCCAGACUCCUACGGGAGGCAGCAGUGGGGAAUAUUGGGCAAUGGGCGCAAGCCUGAUCCAGCCAUACCGCGUGGGUGAAGAAGGCCUUCGGGUUGUAAAGCCCUUUUGUUGGGAAAGAAAAGCAGCAGGUUAAUACCCCGCUGUUCUGACGGUACCCAAAGAAUAAGCACCGGCUAACUUCGUG
Molecule: ribosomal RNA, 492 nt
Filed under: uncultured bacterium
Lineage: Bacteria
Description: partial 16S ribosomal RNA
Rfam family: Bacterial small subunit ribosomal RNA
Source: RNAcentral